Parus major (Great Tit) is the source of this 932-nucleotide long non-coding RNA. RefSeq lists it as uncharacterized. The transcript has 2 exons. The record is from RefSeq and is a predicted model, not a curated record. NCBI's taxonomy places the organism in Eukaryota, Metazoa, Chordata, Aves, Passeriformes, Paridae.
CAGCAGGCUCUCGGUGGGCAAAAGUACGGCUCCUGUGGGAUGCUGACCGCCAGCUUUUAUCCUGCACCCACCCCCAUCCCAUCCAGAUCACAUGGAUUUCUGGACUGCCUUUCUCAGAAUGGCUUCAUCCUGAAGGAACCAGGAGCUCUCUGGCUGCCCAAGGAGUGUCACAGGAAUGAAGUUCCACUGCAGUGUUGGGUAAUGCAUCCCUGGAGCCACAGCAGGCUCCCCAUGGAUCCCCUGGGACCGACACCUUUCCACCUGUGUGAGCUGCUCCAAUUUGAGGCUGCUGCAGGGAGCUGAGCAGCAAAGGGCUCCACGGUCCAUAAUCUGUGUUUUCAGAGCAGCCAGGAAUGCUUGCAGCCCUCAGGAAAUAAAGAACCCACACACACUGAUGUUUAUACCCCUCCAAAUCAGCCAAAUACAUCAACAAAGGCUUCCUUCUCCUUGUGCCCAUAUCUCAGCCUGAAGAGCCCUGCCUGCAGCUGUCUUUGCAUCUUUCUUUCUCUCCCAUGUCUUUGCAGGCUGACAGGCAGGAGAUGAAGUAAUACCAGUUAUUUCUGUCCAUUGGUAAAAUUUACUGCCGAUGUUUUUUACAAGGCUCCUGACUGGGACGAGGUCCUGCACUGAGCCGCAGGGCUGCUCUCUUUGUGAGGGUGGGAAGGUUAGAAAUGACUCUGAUUGAAGGAAAUAUUAAAUACACCGACUUCCACAAUGAGCUGAGAUUCUUUAAAUUCCUGUUUAGCUCUCUGACUGUAAUAGAAUAUGACAGAAAAUCAAUUAUUUUCUGUUUCCAUUCUACAAAUGAAUGUUUCACAGACAGCGUGAAGUGCACGGGCUCUCCAGGUUUAAUUCAGAAGCCUUUCUAAAAGAUCACAGGUUUUAAUGUGCAAAUUCCAUAAAUAAAUUCAGUAAUUCAUGAUGAGGAGAAA